RNAcentral lists this ribosomal RNA (458 nucleotides) under uncultured bacterium. RNAcentral describes it as "bacterial SSU rRNA". It matches the Rfam family "Bacterial small subunit ribosomal RNA", at positions 340 to 786 of the family's 1533-position model. The record is from RNAcentral.
UACGGAAGGCAGCAGUGGGGAAUAUUGCACAAUGGGCGAAAGCCUGAUGCAGCUAUGCCGCGUGUAUGAAGAAGGCCUUAGGGUUGUAAAGUACUUUCAUCGGGGAGGAAAAAACAAAACUAAUAAUUUUAUUUCUUGACGUUACCCGAAAAAGAAGCACCGGCUAACUCCGUGCCAGCAGCCGCGGUAAUACGGAGGGUGCUAGCGUUAAUCAGAAUUACUGGGCGUAAAGAGCACGUAGGGUGGUUUUUUUAAGUCAGAUGUGAAAUCCCUGGGCUUAACCUAGGAACUGCAUUUUGAAACUGAAAUACUAGAGUAUCGUAGAGGGAGGUAGAAUUCUAGGUGUAGCGGUGGAAAUGCGUAGAUAUCUGGAGGAAUACCUGUGGCGAAAGCGGCCUCCUAAACGAAUACUGACACUGAGGUGCGAAAGCGUGGGGAGCGAAACAGGAUUAGAUACC